AUUAUUUUUUCAAAAAAAAAAAAAAAAAAUGCGGUUCUUAUCAAAUUCAGUUUAAUAUUCUGAUACGUUCCCCGUCCCCCACUCGGGGGACCUACAUAUUAAAUGGAUUUUUCGAACAGGGAGUCGGAAAUGGGGCUUGCUCCGUCCGCUCCACGCAUCGACCCGGUAAUUGUUUGCAGUAACCUCCCGGGAACGUGCAACACUU
RNAcentral lists this small nuclear RNA (205 nucleotides) under Oncorhynchus tshawytscha (Chinook salmon). Its description in RNAcentral is "U2 spliceosomal RNA". It matches the Rfam family "U2 spliceosomal RNA". From Rfam's summary of the family: U2 is a small nuclear RNA (snRNA) component of the spliceosome (involved in pre-mRNA splicing). Complementary binding between U2 snRNA (in an area lying towards the 5' end but 3' to hairpin I) and the branchpoint sequence (BPS) of the intron results the bulging out of an unpaired adenosine, on the BPS, which initiates a nucleophilic attack at the intronic 5' splice site, thus starting the first of two transesterification reactions that mediate splicing. The record is from Rfam by way of RNAcentral. Lineage: Eukaryota; Metazoa; Chordata; Actinopteri; Salmoniformes; Salmonidae.